This 847-nucleotide long non-coding RNA is filed under the name Equus asinus (donkey). RNAcentral describes it as "lncRNA (ENSEASG00005037079.1)". Lineage: Eukaryota; Metazoa; Chordata; Mammalia; Perissodactyla; Equidae. The record is from RNAcentral.
GCCCCUCGAUCACAAGGCUAGUCUGUCAGGUCAGCCAAAUCCACUGAAGCCAUACUGGAAGAACCUUGUGACCCUCUCACAAGAGGUAAGAGUUGAACUGAUGCCCAGCACACUCCCCGGAGAGCUGAGCCCCCACAAAGUUGGGAGUGGGGCAGGCAGAGGGGUGAUGCCUGCCUGGUGCCAGCCUUGAGGAAACCCUGUGGCUCCUGACAGAAGGGCAGAACCUGAUACCUGGGUUUGACUAAGAGCAAAAAAGAGCAGCUCCCACAGCGCCCAGCGCCUGGCAUGUGCUCCACAGACACACGAAGAAAUGAAGGCGGGUACAGGAGAGGAAGGGGACAAGAGGACAGAGGAAGGAUGUCUGAGAGAUGCCCAGCGUGGGUGGGUGCUCCCUCCCCCCUGCCUCCGCUCCUCCUCCUCCCCGGAACUGCUGCCUCCUCCGCCUGAGCGGCUGAUGCCCUCUGGGUUCUGUUUUCAUUCCAGGCUGUGGAUCCGGUCGUGGGAAGCAGAGAAGACUGCUAGGCCUGAGCUGACUCCCCUGGAAACCCCAGACUCCAGUGACGUGCUUCUGGAACCUGCUCAGACAAAGUUAGAUGCGGAGCUGAGCCACCUUUGGCCACAUAGAUGAAGACACCUUAGAAGAUGGCAGAGACACAAAAUGGAAAAGCCCUGGGUCUCCAUAUGAUGACAUGGUGGACAUCUGCCCUGCCAGUCUGGACCAUUCAUUUCCAGACUAUGAGUGAGAAAUAUGCUUCCAUCUUAUUUAAGCAACUGUAUUUGGGAGGGUUUUUUUGUUUUUUUGUGGUUGUUGUUGUUGUUGUUAUCGGAGCUUAGUUUUUACUCUAAC